CCGGCGCACGGGUGCGUAACGCGUAUGCAACCUACCUUUAACAGGGGGAUAACACUGAGAAAUUGGUACUAAUACCCCAUAAUAUCAUAGAAGGCAUCUUUUAUGGUUGAAAAUUCCGAUGGUUAGAGAUGGGCAUGCGUUGUAUUAGCUAGUUGGUGGGGUAACGGCUCACCAAGGCGACGAUACAUAGGGGGACUGAGAGGUUGAACGGCCACAUUGGGACUGAGACACGGCCCAG
RNAcentral lists this ribosomal RNA (238 nucleotides) under uncultured bacterium. Its description in RNAcentral is "partial 16S ribosomal RNA". It matches the Rfam family "Bacterial small subunit ribosomal RNA", at positions 95 to 334 of the family's 1533-position model. The record is from RNAcentral.